CGGAAGGAUCAUUGUCAAAUCCUUGGGUGCCAAAUGACCUGCGAACACGUUCCGAAUACAAUAAGCGUUGACCUGCGCCCUUGCUCGGUCGGUCGGCGACUUAAUGAUUAUUCUGUUGCCGGACGCGUCGAGCAUGGAAAACGAAAUCCGGCGCGGGAAGCGCCAAGGACUAGCAAAAAAGGGAGGAUGGCCUUCCCGCGGCUAUAUCCAUCCUGGCCGCGGGGAUCAAAGGGUCUCCGAACGAAAGAUCAAUCUUUCAUACGACGACUCUCGGCAACGGAUAUCUAGGCUCUCGCAUCGAUGAAGAACGUAGCAAACUGCGAUAGUUGGUGUGAAUUGCAGAAUCCCGUGAACCAUGGAGUCUUUGAACGCAAGUUGCGCCCGAAGCCAUUAGGCCGAGGGCACGUCUGCCUGGGCGUCACGCACUGCGUCGUCCCCCCCUCACCCGUGUCCCGAAAGGGGGGCGGAAGUUGGCUUCCCGUGCAGCGUUUGCGGCUAGCCUGAAACACGGUUCCCUCGCCGCGGACGUCGCGACAAGUGGUGGUCGUCGAGAUUGUGCGCGAGUCGCCGGCAAGCUGCGUCGAGGAGAGCAUUUGGACCCCGUGCGAGAUGAGUCCUUCACCGAGGGGCAAUUUCCCAACGAUUGCGACCCCAGGUCAGGC
RNAcentral lists this unclassified non-coding RNA (662 nucleotides) under Cynanchum blyttioides. RNAcentral's name for it is "sequence contains ITS1, 5.8S rRNA gene, ITS2". The stretch from base 266 to 421 matches the Rfam family "5.8S ribosomal RNA". Lineage: Eukaryota; Viridiplantae; Streptophyta; Magnoliopsida; Gentianales; Apocynaceae. The record is from RNAcentral.